GGGGCAGUAUUCCCUGCCCAAGGUCACGACCUUGUGUCCAGACGGUUCAUGUAUUCCUGCAAGGCCUUCAGGCGGGCGUCUAUUUCUGCCAUGUCCGCUGCCUGGUGGUCCGAGCUGUACUCUGUGAGCGCAGGGUCUGGGGAAAGACACUCACCGUAUUGGACCCACUCCAGGCUGUGGGGCUGGGAGGCUUCCCGCGGCGAACGCUGACAGGAGACGGUAAUCAAGGACCGACCCGAGAAGCCUCCGGCACCUCCCACCUCGCCCUCCCCACGUGGUUUCAAGGCUCCAGCCUCCAUCACCCAAUUUCCCUGCAAAAGCCUCUUUCCAGCCUCCCCAGACACCCGUUUGGAGGCGGUCUCUUCCCCCAGCCCAAGUUUUACCCUCUAGGGAGGGAUUCAGAGAAAUCCUCCAACUCGCUGCAGGAGCUGGCGGACGAGCAGCGGCUGCGGAGACUGUCCACUAGAGGGAGAAAGAGAGCGUAAGUCUCCGGCGCUCGCCCGGGGCGCCCAGCCCGCCUGCCGGCCCCGCGCUCUGCAGCCCAGUUACCCGAGGAGCUGCGGUGUCGCGAGCGGUUGGCCGCGUCCCCGCGGCCGGUCACGGCGGCGGGCGGCCGAGUCUGGCGCGACCAGGAGACGGACGGCCCGUCGCCGCUUCCUCCGCUGCCCCGUCGGUUCCGCUGCUGCUGCUGCCUGCGGAACCGCAAAGGAGACGCUCACCCGGCCGCCCAACUAGUGCCAGGAAAGGCGUCGCUGCGCCCCUACGGGUCGCAGCCGGAGCCAGUGACUCCGCUGAGGUCACGCGGCCUACGUAAGGAAGAGGCACGCGGACACGCAGACCAGGUGGUGGUGGGAGACAAGGAAGCAGGGCGGGUGGGGGGAAGGGUCAGGAGCGGAGGUGGAGUUCAGGUGCAAAGCAGGAGCAGGAAGGGGAGAGACGGAGCAGGUGACAGGUGAUGGGAGACCGCGAUGGAUGAGGGCACAGGUCAGCGGGCCAGUAAAGGGCCAGGGAUAUGGGCAGAUAAAGAGGAAAUGUGCGCUAACUUCAUCUUGAUCUCUCUCUGCUUCUUCUCCUUGGCUUUCACAAAGGCCGUGGGGUCAAAACGGGGCACGCGACCACCUAGGAUGGGGUGGGAGAGUGUGCAGAGAAGAGGCUGGGGUCACAGGAUCACGCCUCCACAGCUCUAGUCCAUUCCCCCUCCUCCCACAGGCAGGGCAGGGCAGGGCCUGGCCGGCACAGACCUGUGGGUGAAGGCGAGGGGCGGACGGGGCGGCCUCGACCCCGGCUCCCCCGACCGCUCUCCCGGGAAGAAGAGCGGGCGGCACCGCGACCACGAGAUGUGGAGCGCUCCCGCGACGACGAAGCCCGAUCCUCCCGCACCCGGGGCGGCACCACCGGCGGAGUCUGUCUCCUGGGAGCGCAGGACCCACUGUCAGUUUCCCGCCGGCCAGCUCCUAUCUCAACUCCUAUCUCAAGCCUCUUCUCGGAUCACACCAUCUCCGAACUUUCUGGUCCAUCCCACCAUCAACUCCCAGACAUUCACGCCCUUGCACACGACCCUCACAGACACCUUACCUUGUCCCACGCUCCCGCCCCUCUCGGAGCCCCAGAGAGCGCCCCAGAAGAACCCGUCUGUCACUUCCCUGCAUCCUAACAAACCCCCUUCACCGGGACCCUUCUUCCUGAGCUCUCCCACCGCUCCCUAGAAAUCCUUUCCAAAAUUCCGUCACCCACCGCAAUAAGUAACAGCCGACAUCAACCAGAUCCCCACCAGCGGGGCCACAACCUUUCACCGUGUGGCCGCGCCCUUUCGCUCUACGGGAUAGCCUCAGGGCCCACCCCUUCCGAAUCUCCAGGCCCAGCCUCCUGACACACGCUUCAAGCCCUGCCCAUCUCCCCACAGACUCCGCCCACCACGUCUAACUCAGCCCCACGCGGUCCAUUAGAUCCCUCCCACCGCUCCGUCCCCGCCCACUCUCAGCCUCCCCACUCAAGCCCCGCCCACACGCCCUGGGCCCCGCCCUCCACCCCUCGACUCCACACCUCCUCCCCAGGCUCCGCCCGUCCAGGCCUAAGCACCCCUGCAGCCGCGUCCCAGCUCCAGACCGCGCCCCUCACCCCCUCUUGUACACCGCCAGCUCGCUGUUCACCGUCCUCAGCCGGGCGCGCAGGCUACGCUCCGACGCCUUCACCUCCUCCAGCUGCCGGGGGAGAACAGGGGCGCAAGGGCCCAGACUGAGGCCGAGGUCCACGCCCCAGCGGCCACCCCCGGCCCGCCGGCCGCCCCGCCCCCUCACCUCCUUGGCCAGGCGCCGGCAAUCCUGGCUGCGGCGGCCGACCCCGCGGUGUCCGAGGCCCCGCUCUUGCCGAAGCUCCAGCUCCAGGCCGCGGACGAGCCCACGCAGCGCCUCAGCCUCCUGGCGCGCCGCCCUCCCGGCCAGAGCCUCCUCUCGAGAUCGGCCCAGCUGGGCCUCCAGCUCGCGCUUCUCCGAUGCCAGGCGUGAAACCCUGGGGGAAGGGGGAAGAGGGUAGAGGGAGGGCGUGCACGAUCCUAUCAUCUUCACUUCUCCAUGGGUGCGGGCACGAACCAUUUCACCUGCUCCAGGAACCGGGAGUGCAGCCCCAGCACUCCAGCCGCCCCCAUGGCCCCAUGGUCCCUCUUCCCACGGGAGGAGGAACAUGGCCAUCCAUCCCGCAGCGAGGACACAGCCCUGUGAGAUCUGAUUCCAAAAUAAGUCAUCAAUCUGCCCUUCUCUGUACCCUGGAAGCCUAGCCCUGAGUUCCUGGCCUUACAUGGUCUCCCACGCCCCCACCCCUGGCCUCCCAGCCAUCACGGCCUCCUAUUCACCAGAAGAUUCUUUGUAAAAUGCAAGUCCGAUCAGGUCACUACUCUGCCCAAAACCUUCCUUGAGAAAAAGAUGUACACACAAGGCUAUUCAUUGCAGCACUA
Long non-coding RNA from Felis catus (domestic cat), 2950 nucleotides. RefSeq lists it as uncharacterized. Lineage: Eukaryota; Metazoa; Chordata; Mammalia; Carnivora; Felidae. The transcript is spliced from 2 exons. The record is from RefSeq and is a predicted model, not a curated record.